GCUAUCGUAAUCCCUAGCGUGGACAAGCGAUGGAUCUUCCUCAAGAAGCUUCCGAACAGCAGCGGCAUCGUUUUGGUGAGCGUGCCACAGUAUCAUUGAAGUCCUGCUGACUCUGGCUUUCUCCUUUUGCUUGGCCGAAGAAGGUGGUGGAGGUCCACGCUCGCCGGACGCAACAUCGCCAACGGAGGAGGAUGAGGAAUUGCCAGAGCUCAUGGCGAUACAGCGGAUCGGAUCAGAAGAGAAGAUUGUUUUUNNNNNNNNNNGCGUGUACUGCAUGUAAGUUAAGUUUCUUGGAUAUUGGGACUGAGUGAUGGAAACGGAGGAAGACGGAAAUGUCGUGUGUUUGCAUCCGUUAUUCCGGUUUUACUUUUUCAACCGA
This 379-nucleotide unclassified non-coding RNA is filed under the name Hevea brasiliensis (rubber tree). Lineage: Eukaryota; Viridiplantae; Streptophyta; Magnoliopsida; Malpighiales; Euphorbiaceae. The record is from RNAcentral.